UGCAUCGGCCGGGAAUCGAACCCGGGCUGCCCGUGUGGCAGGCGAGCAUUCUACCACUGAACCACCAAUGG
This is a non-coding RNA of Cordylochernes scorpioides, 71 nucleotides long. The record is from the annotation of a GenBank genome assembly. Lineage: Eukaryota; Metazoa; Arthropoda; Arachnida; Pseudoscorpiones; Chernetidae.